RNAcentral lists this ribosomal RNA (447 nucleotides) under uncultured bacterium. RNAcentral describes it as "bacterial SSU rRNA". It matches the Rfam family "Bacterial small subunit ribosomal RNA", at positions 355 to 825 of the family's 1533-position model. The record is from RNAcentral.
UCGGGAAUUUUGGGCAAUGGGCGAAAGCCUGACCCAGCAACGCCGCGUGAAGGAUGAAGUAUUUCGGUAUGUAAACUUCGAAAGAAUAGGAAGAAUAAAUGACGGUACUAUUUAUAAGGUCCGGCUAACUACGUGCCAGCAGCCGCGGUAAUACGUAGGGACCAAGCGUUGUUCGGAUUUACUGGGCGUAAAGGGCGCGUAGGCGGCAAUUCAAGUCAUCUGUGAAAUCUCCGGGCUUAACUCGGAACGGUCAGAUGAUACUGCUUUGCUAGAGUGCAGAAGGGGCAACCGGAAUUCUUGGUGUAGCGGUGAAAUGCGUAGAUAUCAAGAGGAACACCUGAGGUGAAGACGGGUUGCUGGGCUGACACUGACGCUGAGGCGCGAAAGCCAGGGGAGCAAACGGGAUUAGAUACCCACGUAGUCCCUGAGCGGGCUGGCAAGGCGCAU